This is a small nucleolar RNA of Sebastes umbrosus (honeycomb rockfish), 132 nucleotides long. RefSeq annotates it as small nucleolar RNA SNORA68. NCBI's taxonomy places the organism in Eukaryota, Metazoa, Chordata, Actinopteri, Perciformes, Sebastidae. The transcript has a single exon. The record is from RefSeq and is a predicted model, not a curated record.
UAUGCACCCAAACCCAAAGCCAUAUCCCGUCAGUGGUAUGAUUUUUUUCUGGUGUGCAAACAGGAAAAUGAUCCUUGUCGCCUUUCUCUGACGCCGCAGUGACUUUGAAAGUGAAUCCAAGGGUCAACAGUU